UACGAAGGGGGCUAGCGUUGUUCGGAAUCACUGGGCGUAAAGCGCACGUAGGCGGCUCGUUAAGUCGGGGGUGAAAUCCCGAGGCUCAACCUCGGAACUGCCUUCGAUACUGGCGAUCUUUGAGUCCGGGAGAGGUGAGUGGAACUCCGAGUGUAGAGGUGAAAUUCGUAGAUAUUCGGAAGAACACCAGUGGCGAAGGCGGCUCACUGGCCCGGUACUGACGCUGAGGUGCGAAAGCGUGGGGAGCAAACAGG
RNAcentral lists this ribosomal RNA (254 nucleotides) under uncultured bacterium. RNAcentral describes it as "partial 16S ribosomal RNA". It matches the Rfam family "Bacterial small subunit ribosomal RNA", at positions 524 to 776 of the family's 1533-position model. The record is from RNAcentral.